This 426-nucleotide ribosomal RNA is filed under the name uncultured bacterium. RNAcentral describes it as "bacterial SSU rRNA". It matches the Rfam family "Bacterial small subunit ribosomal RNA", at positions 121 to 545 of the family's 1533-position model. The record is from RNAcentral.
GCAAUCUACCUUUUACAGAGGGAUAGCCCAGAGAAAUUUGGAUUAAUACCUCAUAGUAUAGUGAUACCGCAUGGUAUUACUAUUAAAGUCACAACGGUAAAAGAUGAGCAUGCGUCCCAUUAGCUAGUUGGUAAGGUAACGGCUUACCAAGGCUACGAUGGGUAGGGGUCCUGAGAGGGAGAUCCCCCACACUGGUACUGAGACACGGACCAGACUCCUACGGGAGGCAGCAGUGAGGAAUAUUGGACAAUGGGCGCAAGCCUGAUCCAGCCAUGCCGCGUGCAGGAUGACGGUCCUAUGGAUUGUAAACUGCUUUUGCACAGGAAGAAACAACGCUACGUGUAGCGUCUUGACGGUACUGUGAGAAUAAGGAUCGGCUAACUCCGUGCCAGCAGCCGCGGUAAUACGGAGGAUCCAAGCGUUAUC